CGUAUGUUGCCGAAAGGUAUUACGGCGAGGAAAGUACGUGCAUCAUAGGGCAGGAUAACUGAUAACGUCCGCCGGAGGCGUCUCCCGGGAAAGUGCAACAGAAAUAUACCGCCCGAGGUGUUUUUGACGAGUGCGGAAAUCGGUUUCUUCACACCGUCAGGCAUAGUUACCUAUGUCAAGGUGGGAAAAAGCGAUUAACACGACCGAUUGAUCGUGUGUUCCGUGCCGUCAAAAGCAUCUCGGGUAAGGAUGGAAAGGCGAGGUAAGAGCUCACCCACUUCUAUGGUAACAUAGAUUUGCUGUAAACCCUAUCCGAUGCAACACCUUGAGCUUCGGCUUCUUGCCGAUGGGCUGCCCGCCCUUUAUGCUCAUGGUGGCAGAGCUUUUUUGCUUGAACUGCGCGGUGACGCGCAGUGAAGAUAGAUGACGGCUGCGUUAGCCAAUAACAUCCUGAAUUGAAUAUGCUCAAAGUUAACGAAGCACUACACAAAAUAUGCCGUUUAAGACACAUUCAAUUUAGGCUGUUGUUGGCUAAGCGUACAGAACCCGGCUUACAAGCUCGGUCAUUAU
This 570-nucleotide RNase P RNA is filed under the name Clostridia bacterium. Its description in RNAcentral is "partial RNase P RNA component class A". It matches the Rfam family "Bacterial RNase P class A". From Rfam's summary of the family: Ribonuclease P (RNase P) is a ubiquitous endoribonuclease, found in archaea, bacteria and eukarya as well as chloroplasts and mitochondria. Its best characterised activity is the generation of mature 5'-ends of tRNAs by cleaving the 5'-leader elements of precursor-tRNAs. Lineage: Bacteria; Bacillati; Bacillota; Clostridia. The record is from RNAcentral.